AGGAAAAGAAGCACCGACGGAGCGGUAGAAACCCUCUAUCAACAUUCCCCUCCCCUCGCCGUCCUGUGCCGCCGCCACCGCUCGCGCUUCCCCUCCCCUCGCCGUCCUCGACGCCUCUCUUCCGCGCCCGUCUGCAGCAGUAUGAACGGCUCCAUCACCUUCUCUGCCGCUCUCUCGCCCACAGCCCUCCGUGUCGGCCGAGGCGCGACGGGGUAUUCCGUUUAUCCGGCGCCGCACAGACAGAUUGAAGAACAGAAGACAGGACGACGACGUGAUGGCCGCCGAUUCGCGCGGCCCUCCUUCUUCUUACAUGCCCCUCUCCUUAUCGCUCCGGGGCAACGAAUGAUUUCUGAGAGGUGCGCCCUUUUCCUGUCCUCCCCUUCUCUCCACUUGAUUUGGUCGCCAGGCGCAAGAAGAUUGGCUCACUGAAUGUCUUCUGCAUGAGACCUGUUUGUGGAUAUGCUGGUGUACACUGCCGUUGAUUGUGGUGAUCGUCGGCUAUCGGUAUUGCAAGCGUGUGUUCAGAUGAGGUCCCUCUGCUUGCAUUGGUUAUCAAGAAGAGCAUCCAUGGGGCCAUGGUGGCUGCCACGAGCAGACAUGCUGGGGUAUCCAGUGAAAAAGAACAAUACAAUUAUACAAUUGAGUUGAUGGCAAUGUUGGGAGUGUUUGGAGCAGUUAUUAAUAUCAUACAGAUGUCUAACCGUGACUAUCAAUUGACUGCAACUUCAUUGGCAAAUAUGCCUCAGCUUCAUUGGGAAAUAUGUCACACUGCAUUAUUCUUGAGCGAGAAAAACUGCAUUCUAUUAAAUGGAAUGCUUGUGCUGCAAUUAGCAACUGCAAGUUCCUUGGCAAAUAGGCCUCAGUGUGACUUGUGGCGCGAUGAUUGCCUCGGCAAGUUGCCGGUAUGUGUUCGUCGGUACCAACUCGGCAAGCAGGCCAGCGCUGCAGUUCUUUCUCAGCGUGCCAUUCGUGUCUAGAUCUUAAACAUGUUGUAGGAACUGGUGGAAAAGAAUACUAGCAAUAUUGUGCGAUCAACAAGAUCAAGGUGGAGCAAGGAGGAACGGUCAGCAGAUUUUGCAUUUAUUUUGCUAAAGCUGCAUGUGAUUGCAAUUAAAAGUUAGUGUGCCUUUAAUCAGCGGGCUAUCAUGGAGGUCUCGUUGAGUCAUUGUUGGGCAUGGUAGGUAGCCUAUUUAGCAUUUGAAAAUAGGCAUCCCAAAAUUGGUUUCAUGUAUUAGCAGUUUGCGGCUAGAUCAUGACAGAUUUGAUCCUGCUGAUCAACACCACAUUGUCUAGAUGUUGGUCUUUCAUGGCAAGAUCAUUUGUGGAUUUUGAAAUGCUUUGUCCUUACCUGUAAGUAACUUGCAUCAGUCAUGUGUUCACUAAUAUAACUAUUCCCUUUGUUA
This is a long non-coding RNA of Lolium perenne, 1403 nucleotides long. RefSeq lists it as uncharacterized. The record is from RefSeq and is a predicted model, not a curated record. Lineage: Eukaryota; Viridiplantae; Streptophyta; Magnoliopsida; Poales; Poaceae.